UGAGUAAUGCCUAGGAAUCUGCCUGGUAGUGGGGGACAACGUUUCGAAAGGAACGCUAAUACCGCAUACGUCCUACGGGAGAAAGCAGGGGACCUUCGGGCCUUGCGCUAUCAGAUGAGCCUAGGUCGGAUUAGCUAGUUGGUGGGGUAAUGGCUCACCAAGGCGACGAUCCGUAACUGGUCUGAGAGGAUGAUCAGUCACACUGGAACUGAGACACGGUCCAGACUCCUACGGGAGGCAGCAGUGGGGAAUAUUGGACAAUGGGCGAAAGCCUGAUCCAGCCAUGCCGCGUGUGUGAAGAAGGUCUUCGGAUUGUAAAGCACUUUAAGUUGGGAGGAAGGGCAGUAAGUUAAUACCUUGCUGUUUUGACGUUACCGACAGAAUAAGCACCGGCUAACUCUGUGCCAGCAGCCGC
This 415-nucleotide ribosomal RNA is filed under the name uncultured Pseudomonas sp. RNAcentral describes it as "bacterial SSU rRNA". It matches the Rfam family "Bacterial small subunit ribosomal RNA", at positions 107 to 518 of the family's 1533-position model. The record is from RNAcentral. Lineage: Bacteria; Pseudomonadati; Pseudomonadota; Gammaproteobacteria; Pseudomonadales; Pseudomonadaceae.